RNAcentral lists this transfer RNA (74 nucleotides) under Pterocladiophila hemisphaerica. Its description in RNAcentral is "tRNA-Asp". It matches the Rfam family "tRNA". Rfam says of the family: Transfer RNA (tRNA) molecules are approximately 80 nucleotides in length. Lineage: Eukaryota; Rhodophyta; Florideophyceae; Gracilariales; Pterocladiophilaceae. The record is from RNAcentral.
GAGGUUAUAAUUCAAUUGGUUAGAAUGUCACCUUGUCACGGUGAAUGUUACGAGUUCAAUCCUCGUUAAUCUCG